AGUUUGAUCCUGGCUCAGAACGAACGCUGGCGGCAGGCUUAACACAUGCAAGUCGAACGCCCCGCAAGGGGAGUGGCAGACGGGUGAGUAACGCGUGGGAAUCUACCGUGCCCUGCGGAAUAGCUCCGGGAAACUGGAAUUAAUACCGCAUACGCCCUACGGGGGAAAGAUUUAUCGGGGUAUGAUGAGCCCGCGUUGGAUUAGCUAGUUGGUGGGGUAAAGGCCUACCAAGGCGACGAUCCAUAGCUGGUCUGAGAGGAUGAUCAGCCACAUUGGGACUGAGACACGGCCCAAACUCCUACGGGAGGCAGCAGUGGGGAAUAUUGGACAAUGGGCGAAAGCCUGAUCCAGCCAUGCCGCGUGUGUGAAGAAGGUCUUCGGAUUGUAAAGCACUUUAAGUUGGGAGGAAGGGUUGUAGAUUAAUACUCUGCAAUUUUGACGUUACCGACAGAAUAAGCACCGGCUAACUCUGUGCCAGCAGCCGCGGUAA
This 490-nucleotide ribosomal RNA is filed under the name uncultured bacterium. RNAcentral describes it as "bacterial SSU rRNA". It matches the Rfam family "Bacterial small subunit ribosomal RNA", at positions 10 to 523 of the family's 1533-position model. The record is from RNAcentral.